RNAcentral lists this ribosomal RNA (253 nucleotides) under uncultured bacterium. RNAcentral's name for it is "partial 16S ribosomal RNA". It matches the Rfam family "Bacterial small subunit ribosomal RNA", at positions 524 to 776 of the family's 1533-position model. The record is from RNAcentral.
UACAGAGGGGGCAAGCGUUAUUCGGAAUUAUUGGGCGUAAAGGGCGCGUAGGCGGCUAGACAAGUCAAAGGUGAAAUCCCUCGGCUCAACUGAGGAACUGCCUUUGAAACUGUCUGGCUUGAGGCCGGGAGGGGGUAGCGGAAUUCCCAGUGUAGCGGUGAAAUGCGUAGAUACUGGGAGGAACACCAGUGGCGAAGGCGGCUACCUGGACCGGUUCUGACGCUGAGGCGCGAAAGCGUGGGUAGCAAACAGG